Molecule: microRNA, 21 nt
Filed under: Pristionchus pacificus
Lineage: Eukaryota; Metazoa; Nematoda; Chromadorea; Rhabditida; Neodiplogasteridae
Description: ppc-miR-8248-3p
Source: miRBase by way of RNAcentral
AAUAGCAUGCAUAGGCUGAGG